This is a long non-coding RNA of Scylla paramamosain (green mud crab), 487 nucleotides long. RefSeq lists it as uncharacterized. The transcript is spliced from 3 exons. NCBI's taxonomy places the organism in Eukaryota, Metazoa, Arthropoda, Malacostraca, Decapoda, Portunidae. The record is from RefSeq and is a predicted model, not a curated record.
UCGAGGACGGUAAUGGGGAACAAUAUCCCAGACGUUUAUCUCAAUACAACAUAUGGCACGAGCCUUAGUUCUGGGCUGUGGUGGUCCGUGGUCUCCUUGCUACACGCUGUCACGCAAGAGGGGAAUGGUGGGGAGUGCGCCCUGGCGAUUACCUUCGACUCAACUUUUCUUCCUGCUGUUGAUAUCUUCUUAACCACACCAAUGAAGAAAGUUGGAAGUGGUACUUCUUCAUAUCCUGUAAUACUAAUGAGGCUUACGACUUCACUUGAAGCUCAACACAACAAUAGUUAUGAUAAAGAGUUGCACGCCCUACUGCUGCAGCACUACGGACUGCUUGGACACGACAUGUGUACACAUUACCUCUUCCUCGUCCAACGUCCUGCCCCUCUCUUAAGGCUCCUGAAGGCCUUAUAUAAGGAAUCACUCAAUCUCCGUGGCAGGUUCAUCUUAGUCACUCACUCUGAGAAACAUGAAAUUCUUCAGUUCA